CACAAAGUAGCCGAAGAUGCUGACAAACCCAAUCCAGCCCGCACUACGGCAACAAAAAACCCGACGCCUCUGCUGCUGAGCUGAAACUGCUAAUUUCUGGGACCAGCCUUUUUUUUGGGCUCUGAACGGGGGAUGGAUGAAUGGCUUGUCUCGCACAAAUGACAAAAAGCCCCCCUCUGCCUUAAUCUCCAUCGCCAAAAUAACCCCAUCUUUUUCUCCUUUUGCUUAGUCCUUCAAAAGAACGAACAAGGGACUUUGGGCAAACUUGUCUUGUGGUCUUGAGUGAGCAUCAUGGACAUGACAUGGAAUGCAAAUCAAUGUAAUGCUGGUAAAUAUAUAUAUACAUAUAGUGUAAUGAGCCAAAUAAAUUCGUAUAGCUCUUUA
Molecule: non-coding RNA, 384 nt
Organism: Pimephales promelas (fathead minnow)
Lineage: Eukaryota; Metazoa; Chordata; Actinopteri; Cypriniformes; Leuciscidae
Source: RefSeq, a predicted model, not a curated record